AUUAUUUUAGAGCUUUACAUUGUAAGUAAAUAAUAAUUACGAAAGCAAAAAAUUAUGGCGGUAUUUUAAGCUUUUCAGAGGAAUUUGCUCUUUAAUGGAUAAAACACCUAAAUCUUACUUAAAUUUGUUAGGUCAAUUUGUAUACCACUAUUAAAUUAAUUAAUAAUUUUAAUUUAUAAAAUUUAUAUAAAUUUAAAAAAAAUUAAGUCAAGGUGCAGUAAAAAUUUAAGAAUGAAGUGAAUUACAAUUCUCUUAAGAGAUUAUUUAAAUUAAAAUUUUAAUUUAGGAUUUGAAAGUAAAAUUAAAAUAGAAUGUUAAUUUGAAUAAAGCUCUAAAAUAUGUACA
RNAcentral lists this ribosomal RNA (345 nucleotides) under Rhipicephalus annulatus. RNAcentral describes it as "partial 12S ribosomal RNA". The record is from RNAcentral. Lineage: Eukaryota; Metazoa; Arthropoda; Arachnida; Ixodida; Ixodidae.